This 446-nucleotide ribosomal RNA is filed under the name uncultured prokaryote. Its description in RNAcentral is "bacterial SSU rRNA". It matches the Rfam family "Bacterial small subunit ribosomal RNA", at positions 355 to 796 of the family's 1533-position model. The record is from RNAcentral.
UCGAGAAUCUUCGGCAAUGGGCGAAAGCCUGACCGAGCGACGCCGCGUGCGGGAUGAAGGCCUUCGGGUUGUAAACCGCUGUCAGAGGGGAGGAAAUGUCAUGAGGCUAUCCUCAUGAUUUGACCGAUCCUCAGAGGAAGUACGGGCUAAGUUCGUGCCAGCAGCCGCGGUAAUACGAACCGUACGAACGUUAUUCGGAAUCACUGGGCUUAAAGCGUGCGUAGGCGGCUUGGAAAGUUGGGUGUGAAAUCCCUCGGCUCAACCGAGGAACUGCGCUCAAAACUGCCAGGCUUGAGGGAGAUAGGGGUGAGCGGAACUAAUGGUGGAGCGGUGAAAUGCGUUGAUAUCAUUAGGAACACCGGAGGCGAAAGCGGCUCACUGGGUCUCUUCUGACGCUGAGGUACGAAAGCUAGGGGAGCGAACGGGAUUAGAUACCCCCGUAGUCC